This 959-nucleotide ribosomal RNA is filed under the name Paraleucilla sp. MM-2004. RNAcentral describes it as "eukaryotic LSU rRNA". It matches the Rfam family "Eukaryotic large subunit ribosomal RNA", at positions 428 to 1179 of the family's 3401-position model. The record is from RNAcentral. Lineage: Eukaryota; Metazoa; Porifera; Calcarea; Leucosolenida; Amphoriscidae.
GCUAGCAAUGCACGCCUGUGGUUCAGCCGGCUAAUCUUGCGAGUUGACGUGUGGCGGAUCCAGAAUGGACCGUCCGCGUCGGCAUCGCAGGGCGAGCUGUGGUGCACUCCAUGGACGUGCGCGUCAGCGUCGGUUCUAGACGAGCGAUGAGGUGCCGGAGGAAGGUAGCUCGGUUCUUCGGAUCCGAGUGUUAAGACUCUGGUGCUGGGUUCGUCGUGGGACCGAGGAGAGAGAUGAUCGCUGCGGCACCUGCCUCUCGGGGCUAGCCAGCUGCUGUUAGAUGUGUGUCAGGCGUCGAGGACUGCACGCAGUGCUUGAUGUUGAGGCGUGGUCUAGUGGUGGUGUGGGCAUAGAGGUGCCUAGGACGCUGGCGUCCAAAUGGCCGUGCGCGACCCGUCUUGAAACACGGACCAAGGAGUCUAACAUGUGCGCGAGUCUUAGGGUGUACAAGCCCUCGGGCGGAAUGAAAGUGAAGGUUCGGCGCUGGUCGAGCUGAGGUGAGAGCUGUACGUGGAAUGAUUGCCACUGCGGCGCAUCAUCGGCCGGUCCAUCCUGCUCUCAGGAGGAUCCGAGCAAGAGCGUAUUUGUUGGGACCCGAAAGAUGGUGAACUAUGCCUGAAUAGGGUGAAGCCAGAGGAAACUCUGGUGGAGGCUCGUAGGGAUUCUAACGUGCAAAUUGAUCUCAAAAUUUGGGUAUAGGGGCGAAAGACUAAUCGAACCAUCUAGUAGCUGGUUCCCUCCGAAGUUUCCCUUAGGAUAGCUGGAACUCGAUAACACAGUUUUAUCAGGUAAAGCGAAUGAUUAGAGGUCUUGGGGAUGAAACAUCCUCAACCUAUUCUCAAACUUUAAAUCGGUAAGAAGCGCGACUUGCUUAACUGAAGCCGCGCAACCAAUGUGAGUUCCAAGUGGGCCAUUUUUGGUAAGCAGAACUGGCGAUGCGGGAUGAACCGAACGCUCGG